RNAcentral lists this long non-coding RNA (241 nucleotides) under Prunus dulcis (almond). Its description in RNAcentral is "sRNA ncRNA". The record is from RNAcentral. Lineage: Eukaryota; Viridiplantae; Streptophyta; Magnoliopsida; Rosales; Rosaceae.
UUGUCAUCAUAAGCAUAGCUGUAAGCGUCGGGGCAUUGGUCAUCGAAUAUCUGAGAGUAAUUUGUCGGUGGGCAUGUCUCCGGAGUGUUUUGAGGCGGAGUGCAACAGUACCAUGGCUCACCGAAUUUAACACAUGCACUCAAGCAGGCAACCACGCUCCCAUCGGACCCUUUCUUUUGCAGCUCACUCGGACAAACUGCGUUCACGUUCCCAGGGCAAGUAGCCGUCUUGCAGUCGCCGG